Molecule: ribosomal RNA, 253 nt
Filed under: uncultured bacterium
Lineage: Bacteria
Description: partial 16S ribosomal RNA
Rfam family: Bacterial small subunit ribosomal RNA
Source: RNAcentral
UACGGGGGGGGCAAGCGUUGUUCGGAAUUACUGGGCGUAAAGGGUUUGUAGGUGGCUUGUUAAGUCAGACGUGAAAUCCCUCAGCUUAACUGGGGAACUGCGUCUGAUACUGGCGAGCUUGAGUGCAGGAGAGGAACGCGGAAUUCCAGGUGUAGCGGUGAAAUGCGUAGAUAUCUGGAGGAACACCGGUGGCGAAGGCGGCGUUCUGGACUGCAACUGACACUGAAAAACGAAAGCCAGGGGAGCGAACAGG